GUCUAUGAUCUUGCCACCCUGAAUGUGCCCAAUCUUGUCUGAUCUUGGAAGCUAAGCAAGAUCAGGACUGGUAAGUACUUGGAUGGGAGACCAUCUAGGAAGACCAGGUGCUGUAGGUG
Molecule: ribosomal RNA, 119 nt
Filed under: Pteropus alecto (black flying fox)
Lineage: Eukaryota; Metazoa; Chordata; Mammalia; Chiroptera; Pteropodidae
Source: RNAcentral